This is a non-coding RNA of Equus caballus (horse), 1098 nucleotides long. NCBI's taxonomy places the organism in Eukaryota, Metazoa, Chordata, Mammalia, Perissodactyla, Equidae. The record is from RefSeq and is a predicted model, not a curated record.
GUCCUACUUCCCUCUUGCAGCCAAGCAGCUGUGAGGAGAGAAGAGGAGGAAGCGCCAGGGAGCCCAGAGCCACCAGACAGUGACGCCACAGAGCCACAGCCAUCACACCCGCACAGACACACACCGUCCUCUGCCGUUCAGGCCCGAGAGUCCCGUGAGGACUGGUGUCCCUACUACCGGCCUCCACGCUGUGAGCGCUUCCGCCGCCACCCCUCCUGGUUCACGUCGGGCUCCGAAUUGACUCGCUUCACAGGAUUCCCGCAUCCUGUGCUAACACAUCCACAAACGAGCUCCACUCACCUUGCGAAGAGGGAGAACCGCGCGAAAACGGAAUGGAAGCCAAAGAGCUGGCGUGACCGCUGCCGUCUGGGAAGUGUCGCUCCAACCUGAACAUCUCUGGGCGCGGCGGCUCGUCCGAAAGGCCACCGAAGCGCGGAAGUCCCGGUGGAACGACAACGCGAGAACCGCCCGGAGCCCAGCCCGAGCGCAGGUCUCUCAGCCAGGAGCGCGACGCGAGGGCGCGUGCGCGGGCACGGAGCCUGAGCGGAGGCCGCUGGUGCGCGUGCUCGGUCCAGAGGCGCCGCUGCGCCCAGGAGGCCGAGCAGGGCGGCCCGGCGCCGGCUCCGAGCGUCCGGCCUGUGCGCGCAGAGCCGCGCGGGAGGUCGGCGGGGCGGCCCCGGGGCGAGAGCGCACGGCGGGUGUGAGCUCUGAGGGCGGGGCCCCGGACGAGUCCCCUCAGGCGGCUGCAGCCUGGCGACAGCAUACGGGGCAAGCAACUCCUGAUCCCGCGGGGGAUGAGCCGGUUUAUUCAGUGUCUGUUAGCUGCGUUUAAAGGGUGUGCAGGAGUGAAGUAAUACAUAUUUACUUAAUUCUUUAGGCUAAGCUGUAAUAGUCAAAAUGGAAUGAAUAAUUAUUUGUAGAAGUUCUGUGGUGAAAAUUAUGUAGAUAUUUUGUAAUAUUGAUUCAGGGACAGAUUUUCCAAGCAUGCCCAAAGAGAGGGAUGUUAUUAAAAUUUUAAGAGUUGACUGGAUAAUUAGUUGUAAUCAUCCUAAUCACUUGAAUGCAAAUCAAUUAAUAAAAGUUAAUCCUAGACAAAGA